Molecule: long non-coding RNA, 411 nt
Filed under: Brassica napus (rape)
Lineage: Eukaryota; Viridiplantae; Streptophyta; Magnoliopsida; Brassicales; Brassicaceae
Description: long non-coding RNA (BNAP_LNC018218)
Source: RNAcentral
GACUGAAUAAUUCUUAGAUUGAAAGUUGAGAAAACAAGGCUGCAGCCCCCAUGUUCUUAAAGUGAAAAUCGAAAACCCUAAUGCUAAACCAAGGUGGUUUAAUUCUAAUUCUAAUCCUAAUUGUCUUUGGUUUAAAUUAAAUGAAAGCCCAAUAACCAAAACCCUUACAAAGUAAUUAAAUUAAACCAACAAGCUGGUUUAUCUUGAUCUCCUUGCCUUGAACCAAGGCCCACGGUUUUGGCUAUCUCCUGGAGCCUCUCCUCUUGUGCUCUCAGUCUUGAUCUGGUUACUGGUCCACUCCACAAGCUGGCUAGCUCAUUUGGUUCUUCUCUGCUCGAGUCUGGUUCUUCUCUGCUCAAGUCUGGCUCUUCUCUUCUCAAGUCUGGCUCUCCCUCAUCAGACUCACUCAGC